Long non-coding RNA from Carassius carassius (crucian carp), 293 nucleotides. RefSeq lists it as uncharacterized. Lineage: Eukaryota; Metazoa; Chordata; Actinopteri; Cypriniformes; Cyprinidae. The record is from RefSeq and is a predicted model, not a curated record. The transcript is spliced from 3 exons.
CAGAAUCCAGUCAGCCCUAUAGUUUUCAGUCUGUAAUGACAGCGACGUGACAUUUCUUUUUACUUCUUUAUUGUUGUAAGUAAAAUAUCGUAUUAAUAUCAUAAUAGCUACAUUGUUAAUCGACUAACCCUCGCGUUAAAACUGCUCGUCAAAACCACCUUUUUACCACGGAGGAGACGACUCACGCCAUGUCCCGCCGACUGGACUGCUAGCACGAUUCCUGAGCGCGGUGAAAAGAAGAUGGACCAUUUUCUGUGUUCACCAUUCAGGCAGAAGACUCUACCAUUGCAGUC